This 863-nucleotide ribosomal RNA is filed under the name uncultured bacterium. RNAcentral's name for it is "bacterial SSU rRNA". It matches the Rfam family "Bacterial small subunit ribosomal RNA", at positions 623 to 1498 of the family's 1533-position model. The record is from RNAcentral.
UACAGUGAUACUGCGUCUGAUUGCUGUUGAAGUGGUUGAAUUCGUGUGUAGCGGUGAAAUGCUAGAUAUUCACGAAGAACUCCGAUUGCGAAGGCAGCACACUAAGCCGCUACUGACGUUGAGCUCGAAAGUGUGGGUAUCAAACAGGAUUAGAUACCUUGGUAGUCACACGGUAAACGAUGAAUACUCGCUGUUGGCGAUACAAUGUCAGCGGCCAAGCGAAAGCAUUAAGUAUUCCACCUGGGGAGUACGCCGGCAACGGUGAAACUCAAAGGAAUUGACGGGGGCCCGCACAAGCGGAGGAACAUGUGGUUUAAUUCGAUGAUACGCGAGGAACCUUACCCGGGCUUAAAUUGCACUGGACAGCUCAAGAGAUUGAGUCUUCUUCGGACCAGUGUGAAGGUGCUGCAUGGUUGUCGUCAGCUCGUGCCGUGAGGUGUCGGCUUAAGUGCCAUAACGAGCGCAACCCUUGCCGUUAGUUACUAACAGGUCAUGCUGAGAACUCUAGCGGGACUGCCAUCGUAAGAUGUGAGGAAGGUGGGGAUGACGUCAAAUCAUCAUGCCCCUUAUGACCUGGGCUACAGGCGUGCUAUAAUGGCCAAUAUAAAGAGGGGCAAAGCCGUGAGGUGGAGCAAAACUCCAAAGUUGGUCUCAGUUCGGAUUGAAGUCUGCAACUCGACUUCAUGAAGUUAGAAUCGCUAGUAAUCCUGAAUCAGAAUGUCAGGGUGAAUACGUUCCCGGGUGUUGUACACACCGCCCGUCACGCCACGAAAGUCUGUAAUACCCGAAUGUGGUAGCCUAACCUUUUAGGAGGGGGCCAUUUAAGGUAGGACAGGUGAUUGGGGUGAAGUAGUAACAAGGUA